This is a long non-coding RNA of Pteropus alecto (black flying fox), 740 nucleotides long. RefSeq lists it as uncharacterized. The record is from RefSeq and is a predicted model, not a curated record. NCBI's taxonomy places the organism in Eukaryota, Metazoa, Chordata, Mammalia, Chiroptera, Pteropodidae. The transcript is spliced from 4 exons.
UUCUUGUAUUCUCUGGACAGAUUGUGGCACUGUUCCUGAAGAAGCAUGAAAAGUGGAGAGGUAAGAAGUCUCUCGGGUAACAUCGUUUCUCAUUUCUUUGUGUGUUCUUUCACUAAUUUGGAUCACAAGGCUCCACAGCACAUAUCCAAACAGCCAGUGUUCAACAAACCUGCCAGAUUUAUGGAGUCAGUACAUUGAGAACUUUUCCAUUCUCUGUUAAGAUGGCGUGUAGGCUACCAGUGUUUUCUUCCACGAGUGGUCGUGACGUACUGCACUUUUCAUACGGUUCUAGGUGCAUAAUACGUCUCAAACGAAUCGAGCAACCGCUUAUGAGAAAUCGAGCUUUCAGCAGCUCCUACGAAGAUGCUAUGAAGACAAAGGCAGAGAGGAAUGCCCUCUUCACGACUGUGCUCGAGAAGUUGGGAGAGAGCGGCAAGGCACGGCGAUAAAGCGAAAGGACACCUCCGUGAGUGCAUUGAGCCGGAGCACGAGCACCGUCACAGACGCUUCGGCAGCAGUCAAAGGUGUGACACCAGGCACCCGGGGUCGGGCCGCCCGCUUCCAGCCGCGCCUGUUUGUACCAGUUGAAGGUUCUGUUUUCCCGACGAAGACGACGAUCCCGGAUCUGUGACCGAAGGACGAUGUCGCAGAACCCCAACCAGUUUCUCUCUGUGAACACCGGCUCCAGUGAAACACGCGACCCACCGAGGGAGAAGGGCACCGGAACGCCCAUGACCAGG